Molecule: ribosomal RNA, 253 nt
Filed under: uncultured bacterium
Lineage: Bacteria
Description: partial 16S ribosomal RNA
Rfam family: Bacterial small subunit ribosomal RNA
Source: RNAcentral
UACGGAGGGGGCUAGCGUUGUUCGGAAUCACUGGGCGUAAAGGGCGCGUAGGCGGCUUUAUAAGUCGGGGGUGAAAGCCUGUGGCUCAACCGCAGAAUUGCCUUCGAUACUGUAGAGCUUGAGACCGGAAGAGGUAAGUGGAACUGCGAGUGUAGAGGUGAAAUUCGUAGAUAUUCGCAAGAACACCAGUGGCGAAGGCGGCUUACUGGUCCGGUUCUGACGCUGAGGCGCGAAAGCGUGGGGAGCAAACAGG